RNAcentral lists this ribosomal RNA (433 nucleotides) under uncultured bacterium. RNAcentral describes it as "partial 16S ribosomal RNA". It matches the Rfam family "Bacterial small subunit ribosomal RNA", at positions 29 to 507 of the family's 1533-position model. The record is from RNAcentral.
AACGAACGCUGGCGGCAUGCCUAACACAUGCAAGUCGAACGAGACCUUCGGGUCUAGUGGCGCACGGGUGCGUAACGCGUGGGAACCUGCCCUUAGGUUCGGAAUAACUCCCCGAAAGGGGUGCUAAUACCGGAUAAUGUCUUCGGACCAAAGAUCUAUCGCCUUUGGAUGGGCCCGCGUUGGAUUAGCUAGUUGGUAGGGUAAAAGCCUACCAAGGCGACGAUCCAUAGCUGGUCUGAGAGGAUGAUCAGCCACACUGGGACUGAGACACGGCCCAGACUCCUACGGGAGACAGCAGUGGGGAAUAUUGGACAAUGGGCGAAAGCCUGAUCCAGCAAUGCCGCGUGAGUGAUGAAGGCCUUAGGGUUGUAAAGCUCUUUUACCCGGGAUGAUAAUGACAGUACCGGGAGAAUAAGCUCCGGCUAACUCCGUG